GAUGAACGCUAGCGGGAGGCCUAACACAUGCAAGCCGAGCGGUAUUGUUUCUUCGGAAAUGAGAGAGCGGCGUACGGGUGCGGAACACGUGUGCAACCUGCCUUUAUCUGGGGGAUAGCCUUUCGAAAGGAAGAUUAAUACUCCAUAAUAUAUUGAACGGCAUCGUUUAAUAUUGAAAGCUCCGGCGGAUAGAGAUGGGCACGCGCAAGAUUAGCUAGUUGGUGAGGUAACGGCUCACCAAGGCGAUGAUCUUUAGGGGGCCUGAGAGGGUGAUCCCCCACACUGGUACUGAGACACGGACCAGACUCCUACGGGAGGCAGCAGUGAGGAAUAUUGGUCAAUGGGUGCAAGCCUGAACCAGCCAUCCCGCGUGAAGGACGACUGCCCUAUGGGUUGUAAACUUCUUUUGUAUAGGGAUAAACCUACCCUCGUGAGGGUAGCUGAAGGUACUAUACGAAUAAGCACCGGCUAACUCCGUGCCAGCAGCCGCCGUAA
RNAcentral lists this ribosomal RNA (495 nucleotides) under uncultured bacterium. RNAcentral describes it as "partial 16S ribosomal RNA". It matches the Rfam family "Bacterial small subunit ribosomal RNA", at positions 28 to 523 of the family's 1533-position model. The record is from RNAcentral.